CUUGGAAGGUUGUUCAAAUCUUAAAUCACCAGCAUCGUCAGUAGAAUAGACUGGAACCUUCAAAGCGGAGAAUUGGAGACCUUGCAAAUCCUUUUCUAAUAAAGAACGAACAGGAGCCAAGUAGGGGCUAUGGAAAGGAACAGAAAUGCUAAGGAAUCGGUUGAUAAAGCGAAGCUUACGCUUUGAAUGAGGGAUACGAGAUUGAUUUUGUCCAUCAGCUUUCUCUUUGCGCAAGGAAAGGUUCAAACCGUACAAAGAGCGAGCAGGUCCACUGACAACAAAACUGCGAGGACCAUUAACCAAACUAAGAGAAACCUUCCUGUCUUCAGGUAGGUGAGUAUUGGUGGUCUCAAUAUGCUUGUUCAGAGUCUCAAUGGGUAAAUCACGAACAGCUAACAUGGGAGUGGGGUUUCCUUCAGAUGAAGCUAGCGAAUCAGCAACGACUGAAGGGGGAAGCGUAGUUGUUGGGAAAGUCUGUUGAGAGCGAACACCAAUCCAAAACAAAGUAGUCAAAGCAACUUUGGCAUUUUCCAUAAAAGAAGCUGAAUCAGUAGAAGCGGAAACAGCAGCAGCAACAACAAUGCCCUGUGAAUGACCAGAAGCUGCGCUGAAGCGAGAAGCCAGCUCUCCAGGGUUCAAACCCAAGAUUUGGGCGGUUACGGAGAAGUGCACGAGCUGUGUGAGACCAACUAGGGGAAGGGAGACAGGAGCACUGACCAAAUAGUCACGUUCCGGUCGCUCGCCAGCGAGCCAGUCAAGUACAUUAAGUCCUUUGGAAUAAACUUUUGAUGCCUGUUCAUUUUGAGAAAGGGUAAAAAGAUGUUUAGAGAGCACCUGGAUCAGUUCAGCUGCAAAAGGAGCAUACACUUCAUAAAGUUCAAUCAAUUCGUCAAAAUAAUCUUCAUAGCCUUGUCCACCAAAAAUGGCCGCCAAUUUUACCGAGGACUCGUCUAACAAAGCGGAUCCAUGGAAUUUUGUGGUCUGACCAAUCAAGGCACAAGAGUGGUAGUAGAAACGAACGACGUCUUUUUGCGCAGGAAUGUUCAAUCCCAAACUAUGAACGACGGCAUGAACCUCAUUACCGGCUAAGAAGGUGCGUUCGAAUUCAAGAGUAAUAAUUCUUAAGAGCUGGGUAUAUUGCCCAGGAGUCUCUUCCUCUUUGGCGGCAAUUAAACCGAGGAAACCAGCUAGUAAGUGGAGUUCAUGUUCAAACUCAAGUUCAGCGCCUUCCUUCUCCACCGACUCGGCUGAAGGGGCGGGAUGAAGGGACAGGAAUUCAUCGCGAAGCUGAGCAGCCAACAAGUAUUGUGAAGCAGGAAUUAGAAUGGAAGGCGAAAAAUGAGCAUAAGAAAGAACCAACGACCUCAGCGACUGAUGAACUUGUUCAGCCUCAACCAUGAUUUCAAUGAUAAUAUGAGAAAGAAAUUACCGUAUAUAAAACAAAGGUAGGUCUAUGGGUGGAAUGAAAGAAUGUCAACACAAAUAUGUAGCCAAGGUGUAUCGACCUUUUUUAACGUUGCGUUUUUCUUCGUAAGACACCAAUCAGUCAGUAUGCCAGAAAAUCCGUCGUAAAAAAGGGAGCCUUAAUGAAAAAAAUACAGUAUCUAUAAAUCCGGCAAAUUUAAAUGAAACUCUACGCGUCAAAGGAUUAGUAAAUGAGGACGUAUUACUCUACUGUUCGUCCCUAAUUAUUUAUACUUCCUUUUCAGCACAACUUUCUCCGUUCGUAAUCGUCAAACGGAAGGAAUGUUGAGGAUAUUAAAAUUUUUGCCAGUUACAGAACUGUCUAUUUAUAUAAAGAGGAUGAGUAAAAGUGUGAUCUGUUAGACAGCUAGUUCCCAGACUAGGUCAGUUGUUG
Schizosaccharomyces pombe (fission yeast) is the source of this 1858-nucleotide non-coding RNA. NCBI's taxonomy places the organism in Eukaryota, Fungi, Ascomycota, Schizosaccharomycetes, Schizosaccharomycetales, Schizosaccharomycetaceae. The record is from the annotation of a GenBank genome assembly.